ACGCUGGCGGCACGCCUAACACAUGCAAGUCGAACGAAGUAGCAAUACUUAGUGGCAGACGGGUGAGUAACAUGUAGGUAUCUGCCCUUUGGCCUGGAAUAACACGAGGAAACUUGUGCUAAUACCGGAUAAGUCUUUACGGAGAAAGCUUUAUGCACCAUUGGAUGAGCCUGCACUUGAUUAGUUUGUUGGUGGGGUAAUGGCCUACCAAGACUGUGAUCAAUAGCUGAUUUGAGAGGAUGAUCAGCCACAUUGGGACUGAGACACGGCCCAAACUCCUACGGGAGGCAGCAGUGGGGAAUCUUGCACAAUGGAGGAAACUCUGAUGCAGCGAUGCCGCGUGAGUGAAGAAGGCCCUUGGGCUGUAAAGCUCUUUCGUCGGGGAAGAAAAUGACUGUACCCGAAUAAGAAGGUCCGGCUAACUUCGUGCCAGCAGCCGCGGUAAUACGAAGGGACCUAGCGUAGUUCGGAAUUACUGGGCUUAAAGAGUUCGUAGGUGGUUGAAAAAGUUAGUGGUGAAAUCCCAGAGCUUAACUCUGGAACUGCCAUUAAAACUUUUCAGCUAGAGUAUGAUAGAGGAAAGCAGAAUUUCUAGUGUAGAGGUGAAAUUCGUAGAUAUUAGAAAGAAUACCAAUUGCGAAGGCAGCUUUCUGGAUCAUUACUGACACUGAGGAACGAAAGCAUGGGUAGCGAAGAGGAUUAGAUACCCUCGUAGUCCAUGCCGUAAACGAUGUGUGUUAGACGUUGGAAAUUUAUUUUCAGUGUCGCAGGGAAACCGAUAAACACACCGCCUGGGGAGUACGACCGCAAGGUUAAAACUCAAAUGAAUUGACGGGGACCCGCACAAGUAGUGGAGCAUGUGGUUUAAUUCGAAGAUACGCGCAGAACCUUACCAACACUUGACAUGUUCGUCGCGACUCUAAGAGAUUAGAGUUUUCGGUUCGGCCGGACGAAACACAGGUGCUGCAUGGCUGUCGUCAGCUCGUGUCGUGAGAUGUUGGGUUAAGUCCCGCAACGAGCGCAACCCUCACUUUUAGUUGCCAUCAUUAAGUUGGGCACUCUGAAAGAACUGCCAGUGAUAAGCUGGAGGAAGGUGGGGAUGACGUCAAGUCCUCAUGGCCCUUACGUGUUGGGCUACACACGUGCUACAAUGGUAUCUACAACAGGAAGCAAGACUGCGAAGUUAAGCAAAUCCCUAAAAGAUACCUCAGUUCGGAUUGCACUCUGCAACUCGAGUGCAUGAAGCUGGAAUUACUAGUAAUCGUGGAUCAGCGUGCCACGGUGAAUGCGUUCCCGGGUCUUGUACACACCGCCCGUCACACCAUGGGAGUUGGUUCUACCUUAAGGCAAGGUUUCAAACCCUUGACCACGGUAUAGUCAGCGACUGGGGUG
RNAcentral lists this ribosomal RNA (1392 nucleotides) under uncultured marine bacterium. RNAcentral describes it as "16S ribosomal RNA". It matches the Rfam family "Bacterial small subunit ribosomal RNA". The record is from RNAcentral.